GGUGGUGGUGGUGGUGGUGGUGGUUGGUAAUGGUGGUGUUGGUGGUGGUGGCUGCAGCACUGAGGUUUUGGCGAAGUCCAGGGGAUUCUGCUGGGCAGUCAGGGCUGCUGUGCUGCCUCCUGGUCAUUGCUGACCCACUCCCUGGCCAGCUUGAUUUAUCUGCUUCAAAAAUUCCUGAUGGUAUUUGAAAACUGAUUUUUUAAACAUUAAGAUUCAAUGUACAUUUAUUUAUUUAUUUAUUUUUGAGAUGGAGUCCUGCUCU
RNAcentral lists this long non-coding RNA (262 nucleotides) under Homo sapiens (human). RNAcentral describes it as "HSALNT0126156". The record is from RNAcentral. Lineage: Eukaryota; Metazoa; Chordata; Mammalia; Primates; Hominidae.